This is a long non-coding RNA of Hippocampus comes (tiger tail seahorse), 244 nucleotides long. RefSeq lists it as uncharacterized. The transcript is spliced from 2 exons. NCBI's taxonomy places the organism in Eukaryota, Metazoa, Chordata, Actinopteri, Syngnathiformes, Syngnathidae. The record is from RefSeq and is a predicted model, not a curated record.
UCUGGAUGGCCUCAAGUGGAUCAACGUCGCCAAUAACGUCACGGAUGUACUGGCCGUUACACGCGCGGAGCUGAGGACCAGAUCCGACACCGGCCGGCCAAAUUCGUCCCCCCAGACCACCAUGCUUCCCGUGCUCAGGGUACCGUCCAACUGCUUUUUGGGAGCGAGGCUGCCCACCUUUGACCCCGACGGAGAUGAUGUGGACUGUUUCCCUUUUGACCCGAACACGAACCUGGAAUUUUUU